This 66-nucleotide transfer RNA is filed under the name Curculionidae sp. BMNH 1274272. RNAcentral's name for it is "tRNA-Ser". Lineage: Eukaryota; Metazoa; Arthropoda; Insecta; Coleoptera; Curculionidae. The record is from RNAcentral.
AGAAUCAAAAAUCAUUUUUGAAGCUUCUAACUUUAAAAAAAGCAGUGAAAUUCUGUUAAUGAUUCU